This 289-nucleotide ribosomal RNA is filed under the name uncultured bacterium. Its description in RNAcentral is "partial 16S ribosomal RNA". It matches the Rfam family "Bacterial small subunit ribosomal RNA", at positions 332 to 614 of the family's 1533-position model. The record is from RNAcentral.
UAGACCCUACGGGGGGCAGCAGUGGGGAAUAUUGCGCAAUGGGCGAAAGCCUGACGCAGCGACGCCGCGUGAGGGAUGAAGGUCUUCGGAUCGUAAACCUCUGUCAGCAGGGAAGAACGGUCACUGUGCUAAUCAGCAGUGAAUUGACGGUACCUGCAAAGGAAGCACCGGCUAACUCCGUGCCAGCAGCCGCAGUAAUACGGAGGGUGCGAGCGUUAAUCGGAAUUACUGGGCGUAAAGCGCUCGUAGGCGGUAUGUCAAGUCAAGUGAGAAAUCCCCGCGCUCGACG